UACGGGGGGUGCAAGCGUUGUUCGGAGUUACUGGGCGUAAAGAGUCUGUAGGUGGUUUGUCAAGUCUUUGGUGAAAGGCCGUGGCUUAACCAUGGGAAUGCCAAAGAGACUGGCAGGCUGGAGGCUGGGAGAGGGAAGCGGAAUUUCUGGUGUAGCGGUGAAAUGCGUAGAUAUCAGAAGGAAGGCCGGUGGCGAAGGCGGCUUCCUGGAACAGUCCUGACACUGAGAGACGAAAGCGUGGGGAGCAAACAGG
Molecule: ribosomal RNA, 253 nt
Filed under: uncultured Leptospirillum sp.
Lineage: Bacteria; Pseudomonadati; Nitrospirota; Nitrospiria; Nitrospirales; Nitrospiraceae
Description: partial 16S ribosomal RNA
Rfam family: Bacterial small subunit ribosomal RNA
Source: RNAcentral